CAAACAACAAAGACAUCAGCUCAUAUAAUAUUGCAUUUAUUUCUUUUAUUAAAUUUAAUUGGGCAUGAAAUGUAGAUAAUUACAUAAUAAUCCUAGUUCCUGCUAGUAAACAUUACAGGUAGUGGCCACAUUACUAAGACCACACUCCUGAGAGUGUAAACAUUGCAGGUAGUGGCCGAAUUACUAAGACUGCACUCCUGAGAGUGUAAACAUUACAGGUAGUGGCAACAUUACUAAGACCACACUCCUGAGAGUGUAAACAUUACAGGUAGUGGUCACAUUACUAAGACUGCACUCUUGAGAGUGUAAACAUUACAGGUAGGGGCCACAUUACUAAGACUGCACUCCUGAGAGUGUAAACAUUACAGAUAGUGGCCACAUUACUAAGACCACACUCCUGAGAGUGGAAACAUUACAGGUAGUGGUCACAUUACUAAGACUGCACUCUUGAGAGUGUAAACAUUACAGGUAGUGGUCACAUUACUAAGACUGCACUCUUGAGAGUGCAAACAUUACAGGUAGUGGUCACAUUACUAAGACUGCACUCUUGAGAGUGCAAACAUUACAGGUAGUGGUCACAUUACUAAGACUGCACUCUUGAGAGUGUAAACAUUACAGGUAGGGGCCACAUUACUAAGACCACACUCCUGAGAGUGGAAACAUUACAGGUAGUGGUCACAUUACUAAGACUGCACUCUUGAGAGUGCAAACAUUACAGGUAGUGGUCACAUUACUAAGACUGCACUCUUGAGAGUGUAAACAUUACAGGUAGUGGCCACAUUACUAAGACCACAGUCCUGACAGCAUGGACAUGAUCAUUAUACAACAUUUAAGGAUGAUCUCUAUAACAUUAUCAUUAAUUAUACAACAUUUUAGGAUGUUCUGUGUAACAUCAUCAAUAAAGAUAUUUUGCAUACAUGUAACGAUGCACUUGUAUAGAACAGUUUGUAUUUGGCACCAGUAUUAUAUGUGUACAUCACAGUGUUAAAUCUCUUCAACACUAAACAUGAUAUGUACAUUGUCAUUGUGUCAUUUAGCUGUUUGUUCAUUAUGUGUACACAUCUUAAACAAUGUCCUUGCUCAACUGACCAGUUAUUACACCCUCCAUCCCUCACCCAAUAUCAAACUCCUCCCUGUGUCUGAUAACCCUAGCCCCUCCAUCCCUCACCCAAUAUCAAACUCCUCCCUCUGUCUGAUAACCCUAGCCCCUCCAUCCCUCACCCAAUAUCAAACUCCUCCCUGUGUCUGAUAACCCUAGCCCCUCCAUCCCUCACCCAAUAUCAAACUCCUCCCUCUGUCUGAUAACCCUAGCCCCUCCAUCCCUCACCCAAUAUCAAACUCCUCCCUGUGUCUGAUAACCCUAGCCCCUCCAUCCCUCACCCAAUAUCAAACUCCUCCCUCUGUCUGAUAACCCUAGCCCCUCCAUCCCUCACCCAAUAUCAAACUCCUCCCUGUGUCUGAUAACCCUAGCCCCUCCAUCCCUCACC
Long non-coding RNA from Mizuhopecten yessoensis (Yesso scallop), 1487 nucleotides. RefSeq lists it as uncharacterized. NCBI's taxonomy places the organism in Eukaryota, Metazoa, Mollusca, Bivalvia, Pectinida, Pectinidae. The record is from RefSeq and is a predicted model, not a curated record. The transcript is spliced from 2 exons.